This 497-nucleotide ribosomal RNA is filed under the name uncultured bacterium. RNAcentral describes it as "partial 16S ribosomal RNA". It matches the Rfam family "Bacterial small subunit ribosomal RNA", at positions 28 to 507 of the family's 1533-position model. The record is from RNAcentral.
GAUGAACGCUGGCGGCGUGCUUAACACAUGCAAGUCGAGCGAACGGACGCGACGCUUGCUUUUCUGAUGUUAGCGGCGGACGGGUGAGUAACACGUGGAUAACCUACCUAUAAGAGUGAGAUCACUUCGGGAAACCGGAGCUAAUACCGGAUAAUAUUUUGAACCGCAUGGUUCGAAAGUGAAAGACGGUCUUGCUGUCACUUCUAGCUGGAUCCGCGCUGCAUUAGCUAGUUGGUAAGGUAACGGCUUACGAAGGCGACGAUGCAUAGCCGACCUGAGUGGGUGAUCGGCGACACUGGAACGGGGACGCGGUCCAGGGGCCUACGGGAGGCAGCAGUAUGGAAUCGGCGGCAAUGGGCGGAAGCCUGACGGAGCAGCGCCGCGUGAGUGAUGAAAGUCUUCGGAGCGGAAUACUCUGUUAUUAGGGAAGAACAGAUGUGUAAGGAACUGUGCACAGCGUGACGGUACCUAGUCAGAAAGCCACGGCUAACUACGUG